Molecule: unclassified non-coding RNA, 301 nt
Filed under: plant metagenome
Description: partial contains small subunit ribosomal RNA, internal transcribed spacer 1, and 5.8S ribosomal RNA
Source: RNAcentral
UUUCCGUAGGUGAACCUGCGGAAGGAUCAUUAUUGAAACUUGAAUCGUAGCAUUGAGAACUGUUGCUGACCUGCUAAAGGGUAUGUGCACGUUCGACGUGUUGCGUUCUAUUCAUCCACCUGUGCACCUUAGUAGACUUGAUUAACUUUCGCUCUCGAGCGGUUAGAAGGGUUGCUUUCGAGCUCCCUUUGUCUAUCAACUCUAUGUCUAUAUAAUCUCUUGUAUGUCUAGAAUGUCUUGUUUAUGGGACGCAAGUCCUUUAAAUCUUAUACAACUUUCAACAACGGAUCUCUUGGCUCUC